UCUAUCAGUUAUGGAUGGAUGAAGACUCCCAAACAGCUCCACAGACCAGGGCAGAACACAAAAUUCAGACCUCCCCUGCAUUUCUUCUUACCUGGCGGAGGCGGGAGUUUUUCCUUCACCCAGUCACUUCUCAUCAGAAGGUCAUUAUGGAGAAGUAAUGUCCGAAUGUGUGCGGAGAAACCGUUGUGAAGUGCAGCCGUUCGGAUACUCUCUCCCACCAACUACCUACAAUCAAAUCCAGCAGCUAAGAAGCAGUUUCAAGUAGAUUACACUCUUGUAAUGUGAACCAAGUACCUCGGUGAGAAAGACGUGAGAACCCACCAAAGGGCAUUCCACUUGCACAGAAGAGAGAUGGAG
Long non-coding RNA from Harpia harpyja (harpy eagle), 357 nucleotides. RefSeq lists it as uncharacterized. The transcript has 3 exons. The record is from RefSeq and is a predicted model, not a curated record. NCBI's taxonomy places the organism in Eukaryota, Metazoa, Chordata, Aves, Accipitriformes, Accipitridae.